Long non-coding RNA from Bombyx mori (domestic silkworm), 2906 nucleotides. RefSeq lists it as uncharacterized. The record is from RefSeq and is a predicted model, not a curated record. Lineage: Eukaryota; Metazoa; Arthropoda; Insecta; Lepidoptera; Bombycidae. The transcript is spliced from 3 exons.
AAUUAUUUUGUCCGUGCAGUUUGGGUCAUAAAACAUAGCCCGGCUAAGGCGGUGAGCAUGUUGUGUGGGCGCAACGCCAUUAUCGAUAAAAUGUAUACGAAGGGUGGUGAGACAUUGUUAUGUUAAGAGUCAUUUGUACUUACCUGCAAAUUAUAGCACAUUAUGUCGAAGAGUAAUGUGUUUCUAUGCAUUCAUUCUCUGAAUUUCUUUAGUGGCACAAUGGCUACUUCUUUGUUUUGUAUCAAAACGGCAGAAUUUAUUCAAAAUAAUAUUUGCACGUGUUAAAACAACAAUGUGUUAAAAAAAAUCACUGAAAUAAGAAUAAAUCCCGAAAAGUUACAAAGUGUUAAUUUCUGACGUUCUCGUUAACUUGCUGCUGCGAUAUGUGGCGUAAGUGUUCGAUUAGUGAUUCUUACUUUCAUUUUUAUCACUAACCCACAAAAUGACAAAACUAAAUACACUAUCGAUAACGCUUAUCGACAACAAUAAUGCGCAUCACUAUGCCCGUCCAUAAGACUCGUGGGUGGAAGAGAGAGCGAAAUACUCGCUUCACCGCUCCGAUUUUUUAUGACCCAAACUGCACGGACAAAAUAAUUCUACUAUAGUUCACUUCAAACACAGCCAAUGUCAACUCGUCUCACAAUGCCGCAGUGUGUAUUCAAAAGCCGCAAAAAUAAUGCCCGAAAAAGCAAUUUAUCGGCCGGAGUAUUUUACUUUCGAUUUCCUAGCAAUUUACGUGUGCAGAAUUAAUCUCGAUUGUCGCCAGAGAAAGAAGAGAUGACUUUUAUAAGCGAGCUAAGAAUUCGGUUAUAUGUUCCGAUCACUUUGAUAAAUCGGAUAUAUCCGGAAAUACUAACCAACGUCGAUUGGUUAAAACAGCUGUUCUUAAAUUACAGCCUCUAUCGUCGAGUUCUAGGUUAGACAUGACACAAAAGGCCACCUAUAUCCAAGACCAAGCAGAGCAUAUUUCUGUUAUGACCUCUCCUGUUGCAUCAUUAUCAGAAUUAAUAUCAGUUUGUGGAACACCCAGAAAGAGAUUUCUGCAUAAACAGUUACUCACUGCUCGCAAAGUCACAGAUAAUAAAUAAAAAAAUUCAAACAUUGCAAAAAUUGAACAAGAAACUGAGAAAAAAAAUCACUUCUUUAAAAAAUAUAGUUUGUUGAAAAAAAAAAUUUUAGAUGAGACAGUCUUGAAAAACUGAUCAAAAUAUGUUGAAAUUGCACAAGUGUUUAAUGGGAUAUACGUAAAGAAUAAAAAACAGCGUAAAAAACCAUUUUCAAAAUAUCCACCUGGUGCCAGAAGGUUUGCCUUAAGGCUCCAUUUUUAAGCACCUCGCAGCCUCGCAGCCAGCUCUAGGCAUCCUGGCUGCCGCAACCGAAAUGCUUAUAGAAGCCAAUCGACGCCCAUUUAUGGUCCUUUCGUCGAGCGAUUUGGACAUUAUCUCGUAAAAAACGCAAGGCAAAGUAAAGACACUGGAUUCAUCCUCUUUUUCUAGAACGGCACUCAAAAGGCUUAUUCUAUAACUAUUUUGAAGAUGUUCAUACAUACCCAGAUCAGUUUUUUUCUCGCUCUAUCUGCGCACAGCCAAUGGGCUGCCGUGCAACAGGCGCGUUGUAUUGGCUGCCGCAGCCAAGAGUUCCGGGCUGCCUAAUGCGCGGGGAGUCUUACUCCCCUGCUGCUUUUAAGAACGUGCAUAAAAUGUUCAACACAUACUUACCACACCCUAAUACGUUGUUCGAAUGGUAUCGGAGUAUCGAUGCGGAACCCGGAUUUUGUGCAGAAACUUUGAAUAGGUUAGAAGCAAAGGCAAAACAAAGUUAAAAAAAUUUAUUAUGCACCCUUGUUGCCGAUUAUAUGACAAUAAGAAGACAAAAAUAUGGACGAGCAAGCGUUAUGAGGGUUUGGUACACGUCGGAUUGGGAAGCGAUGAUAACAAUCAAAUAGCUACUCAGGCAUACGUCUUUAUGUUGGUUGCAAUUAAUGAUAGUUGGAAAUUACCACUGGCUUGCUUUUUCAUUGACACAUAGACAGACAUGAAAGCCAAUUCGAGUAAGACAGUACUAGAAAAAUGAGAAAAAAUAGGGGUUCAGAUUUAUCCGGUAACAUUUGAUGGUUGUAAAAGUAACAUUGUAACCAUGAAAAUUCUAGAGUGCGAGAUAAAUAAUGCAGAAAAUAUUAAAACAAACUUUAGACAUCCUUGUGCUGAUUACGAUAUUGUUGUGUACCUAGAUGCUUGUUAUAUGGUAAAGUUAAGGAGAAAUACUUUUGAAUCAAAAAAAAAAAAACCCCACCCCUAAUCAAAAACAGAUUAAGUGGCAAUUCAUUACUAAAUUACACAAUUUGCAAGACAAAAAUAAUUUACAUUUAGCAAAUAAAUUAUCUCGUAGGCACUUAUUUUUCAAAAAUCAAAUAAUCAACGUUAGAUUGGCCACACAGUUACUGAUAAUCUUUCUAAUAAUCUUUGUUCCACAUUGGGCGAAAGUUCAUUUUCUAGUGUUAUGCCGCAAAAGUACGAUUUAUUUAGGGAUUCGCUGUAAGUAAAUAAAGUGUGACCAGUGAAUAAAUAACUUGUGUGCAGCAGAUAAACAAUUCUUUCACAAAUUAAUAGACCUAAGAGACAUGAGCGGGUCAUUCUAUGCCUCUACCGAUGUAUUUGCUAUUUGUAUGAAAACUGAAAGCGUUAACCUAAAUUGUAUUCGCGUGAGUAGAGGUAAAUCGUUACUAAAAAAGUGUGAUAGCAACUUCAUAAUAUGUACAACAAAUUACAAUUAACAAAAUGGCGGUAGGCUAAAUAAAAACUUUAAUAUUACUCAUUGACACUGGACAUCUUUGUCUUCCGUGAUCACGGCUAUUGAUAAGUGGCCAAAACAUUGUAAUAAAAAUACCGCGCUUAAAACCGUUUAAA